This 630-nucleotide long non-coding RNA is filed under the name Anser brachyrhynchus (Pink-footed goose). Its description in RNAcentral is "lncRNA (ENSABRG00000004579.1)". The record is from RNAcentral. Lineage: Eukaryota; Metazoa; Chordata; Aves; Anseriformes; Anatidae.
UGAUAUCCCAACACACAGAGACAGUAAAAUGUUCCAGUUGGCAUUCCUAACUCUAUGGGCAGCUCUCUGCCCUCUCCAUCUUCCAGAUGCAAUUUGUGGGUAGUGACCUACUCCACAAAAAGGAUCAGUGAAGUGAAGACAGCUAAAAAAUCUCCAUAAUAGUUCCCUGGGUGAAGGACAACCUCACCCUCCAGAGCUAGACCUGCCUGUAGCUAAGGCUGUGUUGAUUUUAGAGAGAAAUUUCAGCAGAUAUAGACCAGAGUUCCUGGAGCUCCAGUGAUGGAGAAAACAGAGAGCAUUCCCAGCAUCGUCCUGGUCAUGCAGACUGCUACACUGUUGGGCUUUGACAGCUGCAAGUACUCAAAGGACAGUUUGAAGGACAGUAGCUGAUAAGCUGAAGGCCCCUUCUGGGAUCAGAAUCUCUAAAAGUGGUGCACUGUCACAGAUCUUACAGACGUGACACAAAAUAUAGAUAUGCAACAGCUUUAUUUUGCAAGCUAAAGGAAGGAGGAGGAACAAUAAGGACAACAGUAUAAACUCAAGCCUGAGAGAAGUUUCUGUGCAGGUAUGCCUGAAGUCAAUGGGCUGUGGGAGGUAAAUAAAUACCAUAGACCAUAGUCUGAGGGUGCA